AGACAGAGGGUGCAAGCGUUAAUCGGAAUUACUGGGCGUAAAGGGUGCGUAGGCGGCUUGAUAAGUCGGAUGUGAAAGCCCCGGGCUUAACCUGGGAAUUGCAUUCGAUACUGUCAGGCUAGAGUAUGUCAGAGGUUGGCGGAAUUCCUGGUGUAGCGGUGAAAUGCGUAGAUAUCAGGAGGAACACCAGUGGCGAAGGCGGCUAACUGGGGCAAUACUGACGCUGAGGCACGAAAGCGUGGGGAGCAAACAGGAUUAGAAACCCUUGUAGUCC
Molecule: ribosomal RNA, 274 nt
Filed under: uncultured bacterium
Lineage: Bacteria
Description: partial 16S ribosomal RNA
Rfam family: Bacterial small subunit ribosomal RNA
Source: RNAcentral